CCCAGCUCCCUCCCCCAAGUGAGGCAGCAAGCCUGUCCCUCAGCUGGGCUGUUGCCUGAGCCCGCGCCGGAAAUAAAUCUCCUAGAAGCCGGAGGCCUCUGCUUUGCUCGGGAUGAUCUUCUCCGUGCAGCCUCUGCCUGCCCCGGGAGGCUGCAGCCGCUAGAGGGGCAGGCAGUGCCCUCCUGUUCUGGGCACCUCUGGGGAGGAAUGGCAGCUUGGUGUGCUGUGUGGCUGCGGGCUCUCAGCCCCAGCGACAGGCGCCCCCCAGCCAGGCCAGCUGAGCGUCUUACUGUGUAGUUCAGGCUGGCCUUGAACUCACUGUGUAAACCAAGUUGGCCUCAAACUCCAGAUGAUCUUUCUGCUUCAGCCUCCAGAGUGCUGGGAUGACAGGACUGGACCACCACAUCUGGCCCUAUUUCUUAAAAGAAGGCUACACCAAAAAAAAAAAAGAAGGCCACACAGAAGGCCAACAGGUCUUGUAAAUCUUUCACCUUUUAUAAAAGAUUUCUGGAGAAAGAAGCACUUUGGAAGCUUUAACUGAUUUUGUGGCUGAUUCUUGGUGGUUCUGCUAACAGAAGACAAAAAGACAAAAGAGGAAAAGACAAAGGGAAAUACCCAGCACGCUCGGGGUGACAAGGUGGGCUGGGGCUUUCCUCUUGUUCUGGGAGAAUUUGGGCUGUCCUGGGCUUUGACUCAUGCCAUUUGGAGUCGGGGCACAGAUUUAAUGAUUCAUUUGUUCUGGUUUAAAUCUAGCCGCAGUGGGGCACUUACUGUCCAGUGGGCGCUGCUUUGGAGGUCAAUGUGGAGGCCACACGGCGGCCAUCUUAGCUCUCGAGGUAGCCAGCUUGGCUUCUGUGGAGGUCAUUUUGACUGAUGGCACACUUACCUUGACUGAUGUCACAGUCCUCUUGGUGGACAUAUCCAGCUUGUGUGGCCAUGCAGAGCUCCUGGAGCUAGGAGGUGCCUGGUGCUCACUGCGCUGCUGCAUCCAGUUUUCUUCAUGUCUCUCCCUCUCCAGGGAGGCCCUGGGUGAAGCCCUGUGCCUCUGUGUUCCAGGCUGUACCAAUGCAAGGCAGUAACUUAUUUCACAGAUGCUGAGUGAAUACCUGCUAUGGGCUCCACCUCAGAAAUCUCUCAUCAUUGAUUUCUGACAAGACUGGGCCAUAGACCCCAUCAUUGAUUUCUCAUGGCCCUGUGAGGCAGAGAUUAUGAGCCCAUUUCACAGAUGAGGAAACUGCAGCUCAUGGAAAGGAUGUAACUAACCCAGUGUCACACAGAGGAAGAAAUUGAGCCAGAAUUGCAACCUAGGUCUUCAAGGCUCCAGACAUAUGUCCUUCCCAAUGUCGCUACUCGGGUGAGAACUAUGACAUCUGAUGAGCAAGGGUGAGCAGAAACAGAACAGAACUUGUGUCCCAGGCAGCAGAUGGGGAGCCAGGCAGGGAUGAAGUCAGGCAUAGUCCUGAAGCUAAGAGAGGCGAAGUAUCUCCAGCACACAUGGGGUGGGGGGCUUGUUUGCUCCCCGCAGGGGGAAUCCUACUCCCUGCCAGUACCUGGUGCCACCUCCUGACCUGGCAUUGCCACCCUGACUUCAUCGACACCCUGCACAUGUUCUGGUGUCUGGGAGACACCAGUACCCGGUACCCACUGCUUGGAGCACAGUGCGUGGCUGAGACAGGCUGCGAAGCUGCCAGGAGAGAACCCUGCUUUGCCCAUUGACCCCUGCAACCCGAGUCCUUCAUAGCCACAGAACCUCCUGGGAACUCAGCAUUCACUCUGUUCAUUCACAAAUAUUUGAUGAGAUCUGGGCGUGGUGGCACAUGCCUGUAACCCCAGCACUUGGGAGGCUGAGGCAGGAGGAUCGCUGUGUGUUUGAGGCCAAUCUGGGCUACAUAAAGAAACUCUGUCUCAAAAAGCCAAACCAAACAAAAAUUUGUUGAGCACGUGCUUUGUGUCAGGCACUGAGCGGGUAGGGAGGGGCUCUGCUUGCAGGGAGGAGACAGUCUGCAGGUCACCCUGAGAGAGCCC
Long non-coding RNA from Cavia porcellus (domestic guinea pig), 2025 nucleotides. RefSeq lists it as uncharacterized. Lineage: Eukaryota; Metazoa; Chordata; Mammalia; Rodentia; Caviidae. The record is from RefSeq and is a predicted model, not a curated record. The transcript is spliced from 3 exons.